GAUGAACGCUGGCGGCGUGCCUAAUACAUGCAAGUCGAGCGAACGGACGAGAAGCUUGCUUUUCUGAUGUUAGCGGCGGACGGGUGAGUAACACGUGGAUAACCUACCUAUAAGACUGGGAUAACUUCGGGAAACCGGAGCUAAUACCGGAUAAUAUUUUGAACCGCAUGGUUCAAAAGUGAAAGACGGUCUUGCUGUCACUUAAAGAUGGAUCCGCGCUGCAUUAGCUAGUUGGUAAGGUAACGGCUUACCAAGGCAACGAUGCAUAGCCGACCUGAGAGGGUGAUCGGCCACACUGGAACUGAGACACGGUCCAGACUCCUACGGGAGGCAGCAGUAGGGAAUCUUCCGCAAUGGGCGAAAGUCUGACGGAGCAACGCCGCGUGAGUGAUGAAGGUCUUCGGAUCGUAAAACUCUGUUAUUAGGGAAGAACAUAUGUGUAAGUAACUGUGCACAUCUUGACGGUACCUAAUCAGAAAGCCACGGCUAACUACGUG
Molecule: ribosomal RNA, 497 nt
Filed under: uncultured bacterium
Lineage: Bacteria
Description: partial 16S ribosomal RNA
Rfam family: Bacterial small subunit ribosomal RNA
Source: RNAcentral